This is an RNA transcript of Gossypium arboreum, 825 nucleotides long. RefSeq lists it as uncharacterized. The transcript is spliced from 3 exons. NCBI's taxonomy places the organism in Eukaryota, Viridiplantae, Streptophyta, Magnoliopsida, Malvales, Malvaceae. The record is from RefSeq and is a predicted model, not a curated record.
AUGAUGGCUCUGCUAUAGCACGAGAUAAAAUGAAAAAGGUUAUUAAAGUGGGGGGUUUUGAAUUAGUUCAAAUUUCGAGUCACCUGAAUUCUAUUAAACAUCAGGCUAUUCGGUUUGGUGGUGAUGAUUAUACUGGGGUUUCUUCAAUCAAAGAGUCCAUGGGUAUGAUGAUAGAAUUGGCAUGGUGGUGUGGUUAGGAGUUUUGAUCGCUAUAGACUUUCCUUUCGUAAGAGAAGGCGGUGAAUCAGUGAACUUUGCUUCAAUGGUUUAAACCGUGUCUAUAGUUGUUUUCGUUGGUGGUUCUAAUGGGUUCGGGAUUGCAGUAGCACCAAAAUUGUACCAGGUGUGUACUCUAAACAGGAAAAAUCAAGGUUCAACGAAAGUCGAAAAGGGGCACUAUCGAUGCUACACGGGCGUGUGCCCGACUGUUUGAAUGUCGUAGGAGUGGUCGUGCGCGAGACAUAGCAGUGCAACGGCGAUGGUGUGGCCGUAUAGGUCAUAUGGGCUAAGGCAGAUUAGGGCGUAUGGACCACACGGGAGAGCCACAUGGGCAUGUGGGCACAAAAUUCUGAAAUUUUCCCUAGGAUCUUACAAGUCAUUUCGAUCGACUGUGGGCCUACCGUAAGGUCGGUAAGGGCUAACCAAACUCUAAUUCAUGUGAUAUGAUAUUUUGAUAGUCUGAUCUGAGUAGGAAACUGAUAUGUGUGUCUGACUAUUCUAUUUGAGUAUAUAUGUUAUCUGUAUAUGAGUAUGUUAAGCAUGAUAAUUCUGUUAAUUCUGUAUUUUGUAUCCGUAUUUGAGGUGGGAUUUGCAUAUGUGGACAAA